UACGGAGGGGGCAAGCGUUACUCGGAAUUAUUGGGCGUAAAGGGCGCGUAGGCGGUCGUGCGCGUCGGAGGUGAAAUCCCCGGGCUUAACCCGGGAGCUGCCUCCGAUACGGCAUGGCUUGAGUCCGGGAGAGGGGAGCAGAAUUCCCAGUGUAGCGGUGAAAUGCGUAGAUAUUGGGAGGAAUACCAGUGGCGAAGGCGGCUCCCUGGACCGGUACUGACGCUGAGGCGCGAAAGCGUGGGUAGCAAACAGG
RNAcentral lists this ribosomal RNA (253 nucleotides) under uncultured bacterium. Its description in RNAcentral is "partial 16S ribosomal RNA". It matches the Rfam family "Bacterial small subunit ribosomal RNA", at positions 524 to 776 of the family's 1533-position model. The record is from RNAcentral.